This 200-nucleotide ribosomal RNA is filed under the name uncultured bacterium. Its description in RNAcentral is "partial 16S ribosomal RNA". It matches the Rfam family "Bacterial small subunit ribosomal RNA", at positions 8 to 202 of the family's 1533-position model. The record is from RNAcentral.
AGAGUUUGAUCAUGGCUCAGGACGAACGCUGGCGGCGCGCCUCAUACAUGCAAGUCGAGCGAGAAACUCGGAGCUUGCUCCGGGUGGACAGCGGCGAACGGGUGAGGAACACGUGAGGAACCUGCCCCGAAGACCGGGAUAACACCAGGAAACCGGUGCUAAUACCGGAUGUCCUCACCGGACCACAUGGACCGGUGAGG